Molecule: ribosomal RNA, 519 nt
Filed under: Triticum aestivum (bread wheat)
Lineage: Eukaryota; Viridiplantae; Streptophyta; Magnoliopsida; Poales; Poaceae
Description: partial small subunit ribosomal RNA
Source: RNAcentral
AUGGGGGCGUCCGAAUCUGUGCUGGAGACCUCCGUACACGAAUUCACCGUUAAGGAUUGCAACGGCAAGGAGGUGUGCCUGGACACGUACAAGGGGAAGGUCCUCCUCAUCGUCAACGUCGCCUCCAAAUGCGGGUUCACGGAGACUAAUUACACGCAGCUGACGGAGCUUUAUCAGAAGUACAGGGAGAAAGACUUUGAGAUAUUAGCAUUCCCCUGCAACCAGUUCUUGCGACAAGAGCCAGGCAGUGACCAGCAGAUCCAAGACUUUGCAUGCACAAGAUUCAAAGCUGAAUAUCCAGUUUUUCAGAAGGUGCGUGUAAAUGGCCCAGAUGCUGCGCCGCUUUACAAGUUUCUGAAAGCUAACAAACCUGGUUUGUUUGGUUCAAGAAUCAAGUGGAACUUUACCAAGUUUCUUGUUGACAAGAAUGGAAAAAAAGACAUCCAGAAGGCACUUGAGGAGGAACCCUCUGACUCGCAGACAAAAAAAGAGGAGGAAUCCUCCGACUCGCAGAAGUAG